Molecule: small nuclear RNA, 122 nt
Organism: Equus asinus (donkey)
Lineage: Eukaryota; Metazoa; Chordata; Mammalia; Perissodactyla; Equidae
Gene: U2
Rfam family: U2 spliceosomal RNA
About the family: U2 is a small nuclear RNA (snRNA) component of the spliceosome (involved in pre-mRNA splicing).
Source: Ensembl
AUCGCUUCUCAGCCUUUGGCUAAGAUCAAGUGUAGUAUAUGUUCUUAUCAGUUUAAUAAAGAUGUCCAUGUACCCUGAAUUAAUCUAUAUACUUAAUAUUAUUUUAAAUAUAUUUAAAUUAC